RNAcentral lists this long non-coding RNA (584 nucleotides) under Mus spicilegus (steppe mouse). RNAcentral's name for it is "lncRNA (ENSMSIG00000019102.1)". The record is from RNAcentral. Lineage: Eukaryota; Metazoa; Chordata; Mammalia; Rodentia; Muridae.
AAUUUAUAGGCUAGAUACAAUUAACCAUUACUUAUUUAUACUUAAUUUAUCAAACUGUCUAUCAGUAGAAGUUGAAGAAGCUGGACCAAAUUGGGGGAGCAGAGAAAACUAUUAGCAGGAAAGACACAGAUUUCUCACUCCUUGAUUUCCGAGCUUCAUACGUGGAAAUGGAUGUCCAACUGUGGUGCUGGCUGUCAUCGUUCUUUCUACUGAAUUCCAAGGUUACCCUGUCCUAAAUCCUAUACAUGCAUUCCAAGAUCCCCUACGACUACGACACCUUUGAUCAUCCUCAGGUAAAAAGAAAGGAUGCAAUGUUGUACAUUAAUUAUUCUUGUACCAAUUAUCAAAAUCAGCAAUGCCAACAAAAGGUAGACUUAUUUAUGAAGGAUGUACUAAACAAUAGAAAAUUUAAAAUAUUGCAAGACGUGGUCAUAGAGCACGCCACUAUUCCUGAUAAGCCAUUGAGCCCUACAAGGAAGAUCUUUGAAGAACCGGGACCCUCAGAGUCAUUUAUGAAUCAACUUUUAUCAUUCAUUCAAUAUAAUUAUUAUGAAAAAUCGAUUGGUGGGCAGCUGGACACUUGA